AGUGAAUAUGAAUUAUUAGAGUCCUUUCGUUUACCUUUGGGGGGCCUCAGAGGUAUUAAUUCAAUAAUGAGGAAUUGCAGGGGGACAUCUUGAUAAUUGCAGUUGAGCCGAGAGCCGAUCUGUCUCUAGAAGGUUUCCAUGUUCUUUGAGGGCAUUCUGCCUCCACUGUCCCCCCGCCCUUUACUCCUUUCACUGUCAUCGAGGAGUGGCGGGUAUUCUUGUCCAGACAGAUUUGGAUACACAAAAGCUGCCCACCCAGCCUGGUCCCAUCUAGUCUUAUUUUUUAAAGUCUCUGAAUUUCCACACUGGAAUGUUUCUGCAAUUCUCAAAUAGAUUAUUUGAGGGCUGUGAAAUGUUAUGGAUGGGCCCCCUUUUGGCAGAAUUUUAAGUAAUCAACCGACUUGGAUUCUCAAUUUUUCUUGUGUUAGGUGGCUAUCUAGAAGUCAAACCAAACCUAGAUACCAGUGCUAGUAAUGACAACCCCAGUGUGUAUAUCUGAAAGGCAUAGAUGUCAUUUUUAGACCAUGGUAGCUGCCACAUUUCAGGUAAAGGUCUCUACUAAAACUGCUUUCUAUUAACAAU
This 582-nucleotide long non-coding RNA is filed under the name Bos taurus (domestic cattle). RNAcentral describes it as "long non-coding RNA NONBTAT026935". The record is from RNAcentral. Lineage: Eukaryota; Metazoa; Chordata; Mammalia; Artiodactyla; Bovidae.